AGAGUUUGAUCCUGGCUCAGGACGAACGCUGGCGGCGUGCUUAACACAUGCAAGUCGAACGGAAAGGCCCUUCGGGGUACUCGAGUGGCGAACAGGUGAGUAACACGUGGGUGAUCUGCCCUGCACUCUGGGAUAAGCCUGGGAAACUGGGUCUAAUACCGGAUAGGACCACACACUUCAUGGUGAGUGGUGCAAAGCUUUUGCGGUGUGGGAUGAGCCCGCGGCCUAUCAGCUUGUUGGUGGGGUAAUGGCCCACCAAGGCGACGACGGGUAGCCGGCCUGAGAGGGUGACCGGCCACACUGGGACUGAGAUACGGCCCAGACUCCUACGGGAGGCAGCAGUGGGGAAUAUUGCACAAUGGGCGCAAGCCUGAUGCAGCGACGCCGCGUGAGGGAUGACGGCCUUCGGGUUGUAAACCUCUUUCAGUAGGGACGAAGCGAAAGUGACGGUACCUACAGAAGAAGGACCGGCCAACUACGUGCCAGCAGCCGCGGUAAUACGUAGGGUCCGAGCGUUGUCCGGAAUUACUGGGCGUAAAGAGCUCGUAGGUGGUUUGUCGCGUUGUUCGUGAAAACUCACAGCUUAACUGUGGGCGUGCGGGCGAUACGGGCAGACUAGAGUACUGCAGGGGAGACUGGAAUUCCUGGUGUAGCGGUGGAAUGCGCAGAUAUCAGGAGGAACACCGGUGGCGAAGGCGGGUCUCUGGGCAGUAACUGACGCUGAGGAGCGAAAGCGUGGGUAGCGAACAGGAUUAGAUACCCUGGUAGUC
RNAcentral lists this ribosomal RNA (770 nucleotides) under uncultured bacterium. RNAcentral's name for it is "bacterial SSU rRNA". It matches the Rfam family "Bacterial small subunit ribosomal RNA", at positions 8 to 795 of the family's 1533-position model. The record is from RNAcentral.